Molecule: ribosomal RNA, 467 nt
Filed under: uncultured bacterium
Lineage: Bacteria
Description: partial 16S ribosomal RNA
Rfam family: Bacterial small subunit ribosomal RNA
Source: RNAcentral
GACGAACGCUAGCGGCGUGCUUAACACAUGCCAGUCGAACGGAAAGGCCCUGCUUUUGUGGGGUGCUCGAGUGGCGAACGGUGAGUAACACGUGAGUAACCUGCCCUUGACUUUGGGAUAACUUCAGGAAACUGGGGCUAAUACCGGAUAGGAGCUCCUGCUGCAUGGUGGGGGUUGGAAAGUUUCGGCGGUUGGGGAUGGACUCGCGGCUUAUCAGCUUGUUGGUGGGGUAGUGGCUUACCAAGGCUUUGACGGGUAGCCGGCCUGAGAGGGUGACCGGCCACAUUGGGACUGAGAUACGGCCCAGACUCCUACGGGAGGCAGCAGUGGGGAAUAUUGCACAAUGGGCGGAAGCCUGAUGCAGCAACGCCGCGUGCGGGAUGACGGCCUUCGGGUUGUAAACCGCUUUCGCCUGUGACGAAGCGUGAGUGACGGUAAUGGGUAAAGAAGCACCGGCUAACUACGUG